GUUCAUACAUCAGGAGUGACAGGUGAGUUUUUCCCACAUUCUCUGUCUCCCUAACAAAAUGAAUUUGUGUUUUACAGCUAACAGGAGUGGUUCUCCAAGCAGCCAAGCGACUCCAGAUUAACGUCUAUGUAGAGCAAAUUCCCAACUUCAGUCAAACGGGAAAUGUAAGGACAGUAGUCUUCCCUGUGGCUUAUCUGAAUGAGAGCGCCACCAUUGAUGACGCAGCAGCCAAGAAGCUAAAGGGGAUUGGUGUUCAGCAAAACGUUGUGGAGAACAUUCCCUUCAUGCUGAUUGGCCUGGCCAUCAUUGUGGGAGGAAUCUUCAUGUUCUUGGUGUGUCAACAGAAAGUCCCCGAGAGCACUGCUGCUGAACGACAGCCCCUGCUCUCAUCGUAACAGCAAACAGGACAUGGAAGGAGGAAGAUUGCCUUGGUUGCAAUACAGUUCAAGGGGUUCAACCGUUAAUUGUCAAGUAACACUAAUACAAUGAUUUUCAUGUUUUAUUCUAUUUUCACAUUCAUGGUUUUAAGAAAAUGGGGAAAACCAAGUGGGAAAAAAUAAUUGGGAAAAACUGUCUUCUUGUUGCAUUUGUUGCUAGGUUUGGAGGAUAAUGUCUUCAUUUCAAGUUGUAAUGAUGCUGAAAUCCACAUUUUUCAGUCAGUCUUAAAUUGAGCUUGUUUUUAUUUUAACUCCUAACUAUGGGAUUUUUGAAUUGGAAUAACAUGAGGUGAAUUAAACCCCUUAAACAACCCAGCUCUGAAUUAAUCAAACAUCCUGGAAGUGGGAAAAACACUGUGCUGCAAAGUGGCCAUAUAUGUGUGAGCUGUUGCUGCAUUUCUGAAUGUAAAAGACGUUGUGUCGAUCUGCAAGGCAACUGGCUAGAGCUUGAACAGUUACUAGAUUCCCAGACUAGUUUGGGGAUUCAGAGUUAGUUUUAAAAAGCAAGAAAAAAUAGUAUUAAGAAGCCAGGUUGGUUGUAUGUUAUAAUGAAGUGGAUGUAAAAGGUCAGGCUAGUAGUGCAGCCUGUUCGAAGUGCAGAUUACUUUGGGCUUGUCAUUCAGCCUUUUGGCUUCAGAUGCUAUGGCGAUGUGGUCUUGUUCAUUUUAAAAUGAUGUUCUGUGUUGUAGCCAAGCUCAGUAAUCUACAGUAUAUAUACAUGUGUGUCUAGUGUGUCCUCCUUGUGAUCCAAUCAGUAUUAAUCCAACACUGGCAGGAUAAAGCAAGGCCUUCUGCCUGUUGUGAAUGUCAAAUACAAUAUUAUUUCAGUAUUUGACAUUCAUUCAUUUUAAUUCCAGUACUGUCAUAAAUAUAUUAAUAUAAUUUCUACUGAUUACGUUACUGAUUGCUGAAACCGGUGUAUGAAGCUUUGUAGUAGUGACACUGACAAAAACACAAAAACUUUUGAAGCACUUAGACUGAUUUUGUUUUCUCCCCAGGUUAACUUCUGUAGCAUUUUAUAACUUUAUUGAAGCAUUUUUUAAAAUAAACACAUUGUUUACCUAUUGGCCUAUGAAUUUUUAGAGCACUUAUGACUAAAUGUUGUUUUUCUGUCCAACGUUGCACACAGUUCUGCUAUAAUAUAGAUGUUUUUGCCAUUUCAGUGACUACUUUUCACUGACAAAAUCUCAUGUGUUGAAUUUCUUUUUUUGAGUGUGUGUAUGUUUGCUUUGUACCUAAAAGAGAACAUUGUUUACACUACUACUAUUACCUGGCAAAAUCAGCACUUAACUAUAAUCACGAUUUAUACACAAAUCUCUCAUUAGGUCACACAUCUGACAGUUUGCACGUUGUCAUUUGCUAUGACUCAACAAUAAACUUUCUGUGCUAUUCCCUGA
This is a long non-coding RNA of Oreochromis aureus, 1834 nucleotides long. RefSeq lists it as uncharacterized. The transcript is spliced from 4 exons. The record is from RefSeq and is a predicted model, not a curated record. NCBI's taxonomy places the organism in Eukaryota, Metazoa, Chordata, Actinopteri, Cichliformes, Cichlidae.